RNAcentral lists this ribosomal RNA (301 nucleotides) under uncultured bacterium. RNAcentral's name for it is "partial 16S ribosomal RNA". It matches the Rfam family "Bacterial small subunit ribosomal RNA", at positions 509 to 807 of the family's 1533-position model. The record is from RNAcentral.
CAGUAGCCGCGGUAAUACGUAGGUGGCAAGCGUUGUCCGGAAUUAUUGGGCGUAAAGGGCUCGCAGGCGGUUUCUUAAGUCUGAAGUGAAAGGCGUGGGCUCAACCCAUGAACUGCUUUGGAAACUGUAUAGCUUGAGUGUCGGAGGGGUAAGCGGAAUUCCUAGUGUAGCGGUGAAAUGCGUAGAUAUUAGGAGGAACACCGGAGGCGAAGGCGGCUUACUGGACGACAACUGACGUUGAGGCUCGAAGGCGUGGGGAGCAAACAGGAUUAGAGACCCCUGUAGUCCCUGUCUCUUAUAC